This 105-nucleotide small RNA is filed under the name Flavobacterium noncentrifugens. RNAcentral's name for it is "Flavo-1 RNA". It matches the Rfam family "Flavo-1 RNA". The record is from Rfam by way of RNAcentral. Lineage: Bacteria; Pseudomonadati; Bacteroidota; Flavobacteriia; Flavobacteriales; Flavobacteriaceae.
CCCUAGCCCUGAUUACAGUGGAAAUCCUUUUUGUUUUAUUGGCAUUUUUCUGUCAAAAACAGAACAUUCCAAACAAAAAGAUUGAAACGGAAAGCAGGAAAAAGC